AAGGACAUUCCUGGACUGACAGA
This 23-nucleotide non-coding RNA is filed under the name Cricetulus griseus (Chinese hamster). The record is from RNAcentral. Lineage: Eukaryota; Metazoa; Chordata; Mammalia; Rodentia; Cricetidae.